RNAcentral lists this long non-coding RNA (242 nucleotides) under Carica papaya (papaya). RNAcentral's name for it is "long non-coding RNA (CPAP_LNC011988)". Lineage: Eukaryota; Viridiplantae; Streptophyta; Magnoliopsida; Brassicales; Caricaceae. The record is from RNAcentral.
CUUAGGUUAAACAGUCAGGUGGGCCAAACAUAUAACUCUCUUCAGGUCCUGAAGUCGUACAUGUUGUGCGGCCUUUAUUGCCCUACAUAUUGAAACUAUUAGAUAAGUUAAUAUACAUGCACUUUUUCUACUAAGUGCAUUGGGUACCACAUUACCAUUGCCUAGGUUAUACAAGAUAUUGUAAUCGUAGUCAUUGAUGAGUUCUAUCCAUCGUCUCUGACUCAUGUUGAGAUCUUUUGAGU